GUGAACGCUGGCGGCGUGCCUAAUACAUGCAAGUCGAACGGAGAUUAAGUAGCUUGCUAUUUAAUCUUAGUGGCGCACGGGUGAGUAAUAUAUAGCUAACUUGCCCAUUACUAAGGGACAACAGUUGGAAACGACUGCUAAUACCUUAUACUCCGUAUCUAUAUAAGUAGAUACGGGAAAGUUUUUCGGUAAUGGAUAGGGCUAUAUCGUAUCAGCUAGUUGGUAAGGUAAUGGCUUACCAAGGCUAUGACGCGUAACUGGUCUGAGAGGAUGAUCAGUCACACUGGAACUGAGACACGGUCCAGACUCCUACGGGAGACAGCAGUAGGGAAUAUUGCUCAAUGGGGGAAACCCUGAAGCAGCAACGCCGCGUGGAGGAUGACACUUUUCGGAGCGUAAACUCCUUUUCUUGGGAAAGAAUUAUGACGGUACCCAAGGAAUAAGCACCGGCUAACUCCGUG
Molecule: ribosomal RNA, 461 nt
Filed under: uncultured bacterium
Lineage: Bacteria
Description: partial 16S ribosomal RNA
Rfam family: Bacterial small subunit ribosomal RNA
Source: RNAcentral